UUUUUAGUAUUCUUUCUUUCGUGAAAUUCCCAUGAAAUCCAACUGCGAACCCAGCCGUGAAAGCCAGCGAAGCCCACCAAACAAAAUCGAUUUUGCUUUUCUUGUUUUCAUAUUCAAAUUUGUACCACGAAGAAGUCGUUAGGGAUCCCUUUGGAUCGUUAGGGAUAACUUCAUUGAUAAAAAAAAUCACUGCAGAGACAAUGAAGUGGCCAUCCAUUUCAUAGGAUUCAGGUGGUGGUGGUGACGAGGACAACGAAAGAUAGGUGGUGGUGGGACGAACAAUGAAGCUAUUGGAGUGAUGGUGGUUGGGCGGAGAAGAAAGUGCGAAUUGGGACAAGUCAUUUCACCAAGGAUGAGGAAAGGUUGUGGUGGUUGACAGAAAGGGAUGACACCAUCGUCAACUAGUACGAAAGAAAUCUAGAAUUGCAAUUGGAGAAAUGCUUAAUCCUCCUCCUAAAUCAUCUGAAUAAUCCUCCUCCUUUAAGAGUUGACAUCCGUCAACUUGGUUAUUCGUAAAAUAUUAAUUAAUUUUACCUUUUGUAAAAGGUUUUUAUUUUCCAAAUUUACCAUUACACUCCCGUAAGCCAAAGAAAAAAAAACCCCGCAGUCACGACCACAUACCCCUUCAAAUGCACAUCGAGGAAGGUUUCGCGGCAACUGAGGAGGAGGUAAACGAUGGGGCAGAGUAGAGACAAAGAAAGAGAGCAAGGAAGAGGGAGCGGGAGUGAUGGUGUGGUGUCGGGGGGAGCAGGAGAGGAGUAUAUACCAGAGAAAGUGUGGGGUAGUUGCAUCAAGCAAAUUCAGGCAUUCUCUUGGGAAGAAAAGUAGGAAGCAAAAUAGUGAAUGAUAAAUGGAAGUAACAGUGAAUGAAAGGAUGGCUUAACCUGUGUUUCUCCUCUGUGGCUGCUGCAACUUGUUGAAUUUUAUUUCCUUUGUAUCAAUGAUGAUAGAUUAAAAAAUAUAUGAAGUGAUUUUAUUAUAAGUGGUUGCUUCUUUAGCA
Molecule: long non-coding RNA, 1000 nt
Organism: Glycine soja
Lineage: Eukaryota; Viridiplantae; Streptophyta; Magnoliopsida; Fabales; Fabaceae
Exons: 2
Source: RefSeq, a predicted model, not a curated record